GACGAACGCUGGCGGCGUGCUUAACACAUGCAAGUCGAACGCUGAAGACCUGGCUUUUGUUGGGUUGGAUGAGUGGCGAACGGGUGAGUAACACGUGAGUAACCUGCCCUCUUCUUUGGGAUAACGCCCGGAAACGGGUGCUAAUACUGGAUAUUCACUGGCCUUCGCAUGGGGGUUGGUGGAAAGGUUUGUUCUGGUGGGGGAUGGGCUCGCGGCCUAUCAGCUUGUUGGUGGGGUGAUGGCCUACCAAGGCUUUGACGGGCAGCCGGCCUGAGAGGGUGACCGGUCACAUUGGGACUGAGAUACGGCCCAGACUCCUACGGGAGGCAGCAGUGGGGAAUAUUGCACAAUGGGCGAAAGCCUGAUGCAGCGACGCCGCGUGAGGGAUGGAGGCCUUCGGGUUGUAAACCUCUUUCGCUCAUGGUCAAGCCGCAACUGUGGGUUGUGGUGAGGGUAGUGGGUAAAGAAGCGCCGGCUAACUACGUG
This 486-nucleotide ribosomal RNA is filed under the name uncultured bacterium. RNAcentral's name for it is "partial 16S ribosomal RNA". It matches the Rfam family "Bacterial small subunit ribosomal RNA", at positions 28 to 507 of the family's 1533-position model. The record is from RNAcentral.